RNAcentral lists this ribosomal RNA (532 nucleotides) under uncultured Salinimicrobium sp. RNAcentral describes it as "bacterial SSU rRNA". It matches the Rfam family "Bacterial small subunit ribosomal RNA", at positions 347 to 875 of the family's 1533-position model. The record is from RNAcentral. Lineage: Bacteria; Pseudomonadati; Bacteroidota; Flavobacteriia; Flavobacteriales; Flavobacteriaceae.
GGCUGCAGUGAGGAAUAUUGGACAUUGGGCGGGAGCUUGAUGCAGGCAUGGCGGGAGCAGAAAGACUGCCGUAUGGGUUGUUAACUGCUUUUAUACGGGAAGAAACACCCACUCGAGAGGGGGCUUGACGGUACCGUAUGAAUAAGGAUCGGCUAACUCCGUGCCAGCAGCCGCGGUAUUACGGAGGAUGCAAGCGUUAUCCGGAAUCAUUGGGUUUAAAGGGUCCGUAGGCCCGUAUAUCAGUCAGUGGUGAAAGUCUGCAGCUCAACUGUAGAACUGCCAUUGAUACUGCAAACCUUGAGUAAUUAUGAAGUGGUUAGAAUAUGUAGUGUAGCGGUGAAAUGCAUAGAUAAUCCAUAGAAUACCGAUUGCGAAGGCAGAUCACUAAUAAUUUACUGACGCUGAUGGACGAACGCGUAGGUAGCGAACAGGAUUAGAUACCCUGGUAGUCUACGCCGUAAACGAUGGUUACUCCCUGUUUGGUCCGAUUAAGGUCUGAGUGGCUAAGCGAAAGUGAUAAGUAACCCACCUG